Molecule: ribosomal RNA, 775 nt
Filed under: uncultured Neocallimastigales
Lineage: Eukaryota; Fungi; Neocallimastigomycota; Neocallimastigomycetes; Neocallimastigales
Description: partial large subunit ribosomal RNA
Rfam family: Eukaryotic large subunit ribosomal RNA
Source: RNAcentral
UCAGACGAUGCGUCAUGCAUAUCAAUAAGCGGAGGAAAAGAAACUAACAAGGAUUCCCCUAGUAACGGCGAGUGAAGCGGGAAGAGCUCAAAUUUGAAAUCUUAAAGGGUUUCCCUUUACGAAUUGUAGUUUAAAGAAGUGUUUUCUGUUGAGGUUUUGGUAAAAGUUCUUUGGAAUAGGACAUCAUAGAGGGUGAGAAUCCCGUAUUUGACCUUUACUUUCAACUUUGUGAUACACUUUCAAAGAGUCGGAUUGUUUGGGAAUGCAGUCCAAAAUGGGUGGUAAAUUUCAUCUAAAGCUAAAUAUUGGCGAGAGACCGAUAGCGAACAAGUACCGUGAGGGAAAGAUGAAAAGAACUUUGAAAAGAGAGUUAAACAGUACGUGAAAUUGUCAAAAGGGAAGCGUUUGACACCAGUGUUGUUUUUCUGAAAAUCAAUUAAAGAACUGUUUAUGCUAAGCUGUUUAGGACUUUAUCAGCUAUCUGUUUAGUUUUGAGCUUUUCUUUAAUGCACUUUUCAGUUAACAAGUCAACAUCAAUUUCUUUUGCUGUAAAAAAGCUUGAGGAAGGUGGCUUGAGAUUCGUCUUAAGUGUUUAUAGCCUCUUGCCUAUGCAGUCGGAGAGAUUGAGGUCUGCAGCGUAGAUCCUUCGGGGCUAAAUGCAUUUGUGCUAAGUUAUAGCAUUUUAUAGACAACUUGUUGACUAUGAUUUGUCUUGUAGCUUACUCGCUUAUGUUAUUUUACCUACGCUUAGGAUGUUGAGCGCAUGUCUCUCUCU